Heterocephalus glaber (naked mole-rat) is the source of this 1971-nucleotide long non-coding RNA. The record is from Ensembl. Lineage: Eukaryota; Metazoa; Chordata; Mammalia; Rodentia; Bathyergidae.
UUUAACCUAUAAGAGGUGUUCCUGGUUUGAUGUGUUAUUGGGAUGCCCAUCAAACCAGGCGUCCUGGCUCUUAGCAGCUUGCUGAAGAUACAGACCCUGAUUCUGAUUGGCAGGUCUGGGAUGUGUUCUAGCCAGUGAGGAGGGUCCCUGUCUAGGCCCAGCAGGUUCCCAAGGAAGCUGUUGUCUCUGCCAGUCUCAGUCUGUGGGAUUGUGCCCUCAGUGACAGGGAUUGGUAGAGUUGGGGGACAGUCUGGACACAGGCUCAAAGGAUGUUUCCUUUGCCUUUUCCCGGGUCUACUGUUUCAGUGCUCCUGGGCUCUCUGCUCUCUCCCGGACCAGCGCCCACUUUGAGCAGGCUGAGGCGUGUCCUUAGAGACGGAAUAAGAAGGUGGAAAGAGCUUGUGUCCCUGGCCCUGUGGAGUCACCAUCACAGCUAGGUCUGUUGCCGCCUGUGCUGCUACAUGGGGGAGGAGGAGCUUCCCUUGGUGGAACCACUUGAAAUCUCAGUGAGAGCAGCUAGCUCACAAGCCAGUGAAGACGCCGGCAUCGUGAAAGAAAGGAGUCACUUUCCUGGUCGCUGGAUGUGAAGUGGAGUCCUGGGGGCCCAAGAGGCAGAGUGGAGGCUCCAGGCUGCCCCGUCUUCGUCUGACCUGGCUGUGGAAGCAGAUAGAAGCAUCCACCUUUUACGACUGAAAUUGAAUCACAUGACAUUGCCAAAGUGCAACCAUAUUUAGCUUCUCAGACAGCCAUUUCAUAUGCUACAAUGUGAUGCUUUGCAUCUGAACUCUGUUCCAUGCUAGCAGCAGACUGAAGUCCAGGUUUCCUAGGCCCAUUCAGAGCAGGACCCUGGACCCUGGACUGGAGAACAAGGGAGAGAGUCGGUCUUUAAAACAGGCAGAAGAUCAAGUUUGUCUUAAGGGGCUGAGGCAGACCCCACUCCCCACGUCAGGCGCCCCCGCUCCUGGGUUCUCCAGUGACCUCUAGGCUGGGCCUGGUUUGGGGUGUGCAGUGGGAGCUGGCGAGGGGACCCUGGAAAAGCCCUCCUAGCCGGGUGGUGUGUGCCCUCCUGACUAAGUGGGCAGAGUUUUCUGGAGGCUUUAGGAGGCUUUGUGUUUCUGGACACACCCAGCAUCCCUACCCCAUCUGGGCUACAAAUCCUGGUGGUGAGGGCUGUGUGGGAGGCCAAGCUGAGUGGAAGCAGCUCCUAGGCAAGGAGCCCUGAGGUGAUUCCUGAACCUCAGGGACAGCAGCCAACCAGGCCCACACAGCAGGUAUCUGAACUCAUCCAAGGGCAAAGUGGCCUGGGAGGUUUCAAGCUACAGAGUGACAGAAGGUUUAUAAAUUGCACCAAGGAUGAGAGAGUUUCCUUCCUGGGAUUCACCAGCCUGCCUCACAGUCAUGGAACAGACUUGCCUGGAUAUCUUGGAGCCUGGUGGUGCUGUUAGGGACUUGGCAUCUUUCUUGUCAGGAGGAUAGAAACAGAAGAGGGAGGGGCUCAGCUCAGAUCAUUUUAUCCAUCUGUCCAUCCAUCCAUCCAUCCACCCAUCCACCCAUCCAACCAUCCAUUAAGCCAGUGGUAACUGGGUGUCUACACAUGCCUGGCACUGUGCUAGGCGCUUGGCAUAUAGCAGUGAACAAAACAAACAAAUAUCUCUGGCUUUCUGUUACUGCAGCCGCUUGGGUAAAGCCAUUAAUAACUAUGUCGCUAUUAAACAGCUCCUAUCUUUUCUACCAUGACAUCAUUAAAUGGAUACAAUUUGUGUGUGUGUGUGUUUUAAAACUUUAAUAAACAGAAAUGCUCAGGGCAUAAUGUGAGAUUUUUAGGAAGCCUGAUCCAAAAUUGCACAUAUAGUUUGAUUCUACCUAUGUUAACAUACAUGUGCCCUGAAAAGGCACAAGAAGGAAAUAGCUGUUAAACAGAAGUAGCAGUGUGGCAGAUGUUUUAUCCUAGUAUGGCCCACAAGAUCUCCC